GCAUAAUUUGUAUGUGCAUGAUGCAUAUGUCUGAAAAUGAAAUGCGUCCGGUUAAUCGACUGCGCUGAUGGAAUGAAAGCAAACAACUAGGUCUGCCACCAUCGACCUGCCACCUAAUCAAGAGAUUUGGUGGGCUUAGGAGGUGCCGACUGCUGAUUGUGUUUUGAAAGAGCCACUGGUGGUGAGGACCUCAACAAUGCAAGAGCCAAUCUCCAAGUCUUUCAAUACUCCGGCGAGCAAGAGAACACAGUCGGAGGUUGCGACCUCCGAAUCAAGACAGCAACCCAAAAGGAGGAGAUCCAGUGUCUGUAGUGCUCAGCUGAUGGCUCAAGAAGAAAAACUGCAGAAAUUGAAGCUUGUUAGCCACUACAGGAAGAAUCAUAGCCUGCCGCAGCUGGAGCGGCUGACACAGUGCUGGACGAGGGCGGCCCAGCAGGCGCUGCGCGACCUACAGCAGCGGCUGCAGAGCCGUGAACAAGACGUCGCCAUGGCGGAUCUCCUGCGACACAUGGGCGUCGACCCCAAGCUAGUCAUGUAUGAUGCUGAGACGGACAGCUUCUCCGGAGCGGAAGAACAAUAAACUGUGUGAACGGCUGUAAUUCGUCCGGCAGGUGUCGAUUCAUCGCAAAUGAGUGCCCCACAGAACGGAAAAUUUGUUGAAGGUUUGUGUGGUAAGUUUCUUUUCUGUGGAUGUAUGGGCAUUUUGUCCGCAUCUAAAAGUAGCGAUAGGAAAAGCUGUUUCCGCCCGGGCUCGAACCGGGGACCUUCCGCGUGUGAAGCGGACGUGAUAACCACUACACUACGGAAACGAUGAGGGUGUGGGCCGCUAACGGUGUACGUAAUAAUCGCGAAGUAGUAUUGAUGUAUUGGUCAUACCUUUCUACUGGGCAAGCCAUAUUUGUAUGAAUACAUUUAA
Long non-coding RNA from Pollicipes pollicipes, 916 nucleotides. RefSeq lists it as uncharacterized. NCBI's taxonomy places the organism in Eukaryota, Metazoa, Arthropoda, Thecostraca, Pollicipedomorpha, Pollicipedidae. The transcript has 3 exons. The record is from RefSeq and is a predicted model, not a curated record.